AGUGUUGUGAGUAACUAAUGCACAGUACACUGAUAGUGUAAAAGAUGUUAGCAUUGAAAGUGUUUGGAGUGAGCAGAGCUUCUAGCUGAACACAGAGUCCCGAAUCCUUCAGCGAGCGUCUGUCGGAGAGAAAGCUCAUACACGGCUGGUGUUUCUCGCAGGACUGUUCGCUCGCGGAGAUCAAGAAGCUGUGCUGGGAUCAGAUGCAGCAGCUCUCGGAGAUUCAUCUGCUGCAGAUUCUGGAGGGUAAAGAGUUAUCAGCCGCACCUGAAGAGAAGAUCUUCACCGACAGCCAGCAGGACAGUAACGUGGACUCCACUUCGUCUCUGAGAGAAGAUCCUGAAGCAGAAGAAAAGCAAGGUAAAGA
Long non-coding RNA from Sinocyclocheilus grahami, 367 nucleotides. RefSeq lists it as uncharacterized. The record is from RefSeq and is a predicted model, not a curated record. The transcript is spliced from 3 exons. NCBI's taxonomy places the organism in Eukaryota, Metazoa, Chordata, Actinopteri, Cypriniformes, Cyprinidae.